RNAcentral lists this long non-coding RNA (550 nucleotides) under Nicotiana benthamiana. Its description in RNAcentral is "long non-coding RNA (NBEN_LNC030556)". The record is from RNAcentral. Lineage: Eukaryota; Viridiplantae; Streptophyta; Magnoliopsida; Solanales; Solanaceae.
CUCAUUUUAUUGAUAAAAAUAAGAUGAGUCAAAGAAAUGCAAUUUAAAAAUAACGGAAAUAAAAAUGUCACUAAUGGCUCGUGGCCUUAUUAAAUUAUGAAAGCAGAAAAUAAAAGAUCCUAACUACUUGGUCCCAGAAGGACCGUCCCCUGAUUCGGUAUUCUCGCCUCCCUCGUACAGCUCCAUCAACUCGCACAGUCCUAAUAGAAAAAGGGCUCGGGCCAGAUGCCCAUCCGCACUUCCCUCUGUAUUUUGGCAGUCUUCAAUCCUAUUCAAAAGCUUUCCUUCCGGCUCUACUAGACCUCGUUCCAGAUACCUUAACCGCUUGUUAGUGUUGACAGCCAUAUCCUUCCACUCGUCGAUCAAUUUCUGGUGAGCUUCUUGUAUUUCUCGGUGUUGCAUUCCCGAAUUCUUCUACACAAUUGAUUGUAUUUAACUUGCGCUUUAGCCUUUUCAUCAAUAAGCUUGUGACCUUGGACGAAUCCCGGAUGACCCAAACCAGUGUGAUUGUCUUCCAACCAACCCGAAUAAUGUGGCACACAUCCUGCAU